This 61-nucleotide transfer RNA is filed under the name Ancylostoma ceylanicum. It matches the Rfam family "tRNA", at positions 13 to 71 of the family's 71-position model. Rfam says of the family: Transfer RNA (tRNA) molecules are approximately 80 nucleotides in length. Their secondary structure includes four short double-helical elements and three loops (D, anti-codon, and T loops). The record is from Rfam by way of RNAcentral. Lineage: Eukaryota; Metazoa; Nematoda; Chromadorea; Rhabditida; Ancylostomatidae.
CAGUCGGUAGAGCACCAGACUCUUAAUCUGGCUGUCGCGGGUUCGAGCCCCGCAUCGGGCU